GGACUACCAGGGUAUCUAAUCCCGUUUGCUCCCCUAGCUUUCGCGCCACAGCGUCAGUCGCAGGCCAGGAAGCCGCCUUCGCCACUGGUGUUCCUCCGGGUCUCUACGCAUUUCACCGCUACUCCCGGAGUUCCACUUCCCUCUCCUGCACUCAUAAGCCCGUCCGUUACCGAUGACCCUCCCCAGUUGAGCCGGGGGCUUUCACACCGGUCGUAGCGGGCCGCCUACGCGCGCUUUACGCCCAGUAAUUCCGGACAACGCUCGCCUCCUACGUAUUACCGCGGCUGCUGGCAC
This 294-nucleotide ribosomal RNA is filed under the name uncultured bacterium. Its description in RNAcentral is "partial 16S ribosomal RNA". The record is from RNAcentral.